Molecule: long non-coding RNA, 1143 nt
Organism: Bos taurus (domestic cattle)
Lineage: Eukaryota; Metazoa; Chordata; Mammalia; Artiodactyla; Bovidae
Source: Ensembl
AUCAAAUUGAAUUUUGAAGGUAGUGUGAGAUAAGAGUUACUGUUCAUUCUCCCCGUGUGAUGAAUGAAAAGACUUUUCUUAACCUACUAAGUCACUUGGCAUCUCUGUUGAAAACGAGUGGAUGUCCCGGACGCUCCCUGCCCCAUUCAGACGACGUGUCCUCCUGUCACCAGCACCACGGCGCCUUCACUACUGCAGCCGUAUGAUCCAAGUCUUGAGAUUAGACACUCCGUGUCCUGAUGAGACGGGGAACCGAGCUCUGUUCACAGAGCGGAAGAAUGGACUCCGCAAACUCGCAAACAUUCAAGCAGGCAAAGUUUAUUUCAAAGGAUAGAGCUACAAAGCCCUCAGCAUAGACUCUGAGAGCGGGUGAACCCCCAGAGGCGGGAACAGCAGCAGCUUUUCUGUCCUCGUCAGACUCGACCUGUCCGUCCUUGGCUGGCCCGGGGCCCGACGCCUGUGAUUUCUGACCCGUGAGUGAACGGCCAGUGUCUGUCCCGUCCGUUGGCCGGUGGCUCUGUGGCAAGCAGCGUUGUGCUGACUGGAACGACCCCACAAGAAGCAAGCGUUAUUAUCUUUUAGAAGAUAAGAAAAUUAAGGGUGAGAGCACAGGAGUAGUUUUCUUAAGGGCACCAGAUGGAGCAGAGCCAGGCUUGACCCCUGGGCCACCUCAGCCAGCAGCCCCAGCCCGUGACCCCUGCUCUCUGCCACCCUGGGGCCUCCGUGUGGGAGGCUGGCGGCCUGUGCAGCUCGGUCGCCAUUUGCAGAGCGUUGAUUCCUCAGUAGGGGCCCUUAAAAACUUCCUCAGCUUUUUAUCUCGCAGCUUCCCAUGUGUCUGUGUCCACACCUACUUUUAUACACUGCCCUCCUGUCUUUGCAGGAGCACAUACAGGCACACAGGUUAACACCAUGAGUACAUACACACACACUCAGACACACACACUCGCGUACAUGCAGAUAUACAAAUACACACCAGUCACAGGUACUGCAGCAACCAGGAGACGUGGGGGCAUCCUGUGCUGGCAGCCAGGUGGGAUGCACAGGACCACCCACCCAAUUCCAGAGAGGGUUGGUAAAGCCUCAGCACACAGUGGCCGUGGAAAAACGAAGGAUGGCUUUUAUGUACAGUUUCUUAAAAAUAAC